UACGGAGGGGGCUAGCGUUGUUCGGAAUUACUGGGCGUAAAGCGCACGUAGGCGGCUUUGUAAGUUAGAGGUGAAAGCCCGGGGCUCAACUCCGGAAUUGCCUUUAAGACUGCAUCGCUAGAAUUGUGGAGAGGUAAGUGGAAUUCCGAGUGUAGAGGUGAAAUUCGUAGAUAUUCGGAAGAACACCAGUGGCGAAGGCGACUUACUGGACACAUAUUGACGCUGAGGCGCGAAAGCGUGGGGAGUAAACAGG
Molecule: ribosomal RNA, 253 nt
Filed under: uncultured bacterium
Lineage: Bacteria
Description: partial 16S ribosomal RNA
Rfam family: Bacterial small subunit ribosomal RNA
Source: RNAcentral